AACGAACGCUGGCGGCGUGGAUAAGACAUGCAAGUCGAGCGCGAUUUGCGCGGUAGCAAUACUGCGCAAGUUGAGCGGCGCAAGGGUGCGUAACACGUGGGUAAUUUGCCGUGAAGUUGGGGAUAACUCGCUGAAAGGCGAGCUAAUACCGGAUGUGGUUUGGGAGAGGCAUCACUUCUUAACUAAAGCUGGGGAUCGCAAGACCUGGCGCUUCAUGAUAAGCCCGCUGCCUAUCAGCUAGUUGGUGGGGUAACGGCUCACCAAGGCUAAGACGGGUAGCUGGUCUGAGAGGACGACCAGCCACACUGGAACUGAGACACGGUCCAGACACCUACGGGUGGCAGCAGUCGAGAAUUUUCUCAAUGGGCGCAAGCCUGAAGGAGCAACGCCGCGUGGGGGAUGAAGGGUUUCGAUCCGUAAACCCCUGUCAUUUGCGAACAAUGCUCAUCCAAUAACACUGGGUGAGUUGAUAGUAGCGGAAGGA
This 484-nucleotide ribosomal RNA is filed under the name uncultured bacterium. Its description in RNAcentral is "bacterial SSU rRNA". It matches the Rfam family "Bacterial small subunit ribosomal RNA", at positions 29 to 486 of the family's 1533-position model. The record is from RNAcentral.